This 27-nucleotide ribosomal RNA is filed under the name Acanthopotamon martensi. RNAcentral describes it as "partial 16S ribosomal RNA". Lineage: Eukaryota; Metazoa; Arthropoda; Malacostraca; Decapoda; Potamidae. The record is from RNAcentral.
GGAGUAGAUAAUUAAAAUAUUUUUAGU